AGCGAACGCUGGCGGCAGGCCUAACACAUGCAAGUCGAACGAACCUUUCGGGGUUAGUGGCGGACGGGUGAGUAACACGUGGGAACGUGCCUUUAGGUUCGGAAUAACUCAGGGGAACUUGUGCUAAUACCGAAUGUGCCCUUCGGGGGAAAGAUUAAUCGCCUUUAGAGCGGCCCGCGUCUGAUUAGCUAGUUGGUUGAGGUAAUGGCUCACCAAGGCGACGAUCAGUAGCUGGUCUGAGAGGAUGAUCAGCCACAUUGGGACUGAGACACGGCCCAAACUCCUACGGGAGGCAGCAGUGGGGAAUCUUGCGCAAUGGGCGAAAGCCUGACGCAGCCAUGCCGCGUGAAUGAUGAAGGUCUUAGGAUUGUAAAAUUCUUUCACCGGGGACGAUAAUGACGGUACCCGGAGAAGAAGCCCCGGCUAACUUCGUG
RNAcentral lists this ribosomal RNA (434 nucleotides) under uncultured bacterium. Its description in RNAcentral is "partial 16S ribosomal RNA". It matches the Rfam family "Bacterial small subunit ribosomal RNA", at positions 29 to 507 of the family's 1533-position model. The record is from RNAcentral.